This 446-nucleotide ribosomal RNA is filed under the name uncultured bacterium. RNAcentral describes it as "partial 16S ribosomal RNA". It matches the Rfam family "Bacterial small subunit ribosomal RNA", at positions 338 to 795 of the family's 1533-position model. The record is from RNAcentral.
CCUACGGGAGGCAGCAGUCGAGAAUUAUUCACAAUGGGGGAAACCCUGAUGGUGCGACGCCGCGUGGGGGAAUGAAGGUCUUCGGAUUGUAAACCCCUGUCAUGUGGGAGCAAAUUAAAAAGAUAGUACCACAAGAGGAAGAGACGGCUAACUCUGUGCCAGCAGCCGCGGUAAUACAGAGGUCUCAAGCGUUGUUCGGAAUCACUGGGCGUAAGGCGUGCGUAGGCUGUGUCGUAAGUCGUGUGUGAAAGGCGCGGGCUCAACCCGCGGACGGCACAUGAUACUGCGAGACUAGAGUAAUGGAGGGGGAACCGGAAUUCUCGGUGUAGCAGUGAAAUGCGUAGAUAUCGAGAGGAACACUCGUGGCGAAGGCGGGUUCCUGGACAUUAACUGACGCUGAGGCACGAAGGCCAGGGGAGCGAAAGGGAUUAGAUACCCUGGUAGUC